Molecule: ribosomal RNA, 492 nt
Filed under: uncultured bacterium
Lineage: Bacteria
Description: partial 16S ribosomal RNA
Rfam family: Bacterial small subunit ribosomal RNA
Source: RNAcentral
AGUGAACGUUGGCGGUAGGCCUAACACAUGCAAGUCGAACGGCAGCACAGUAAGAGCUUGCUCUUACGGGUGGCGAGUGGCGGACGGGUGAGGAAUACAUCGGAAUCUACUUUUUCGUGGGGGAUAACGUAGGGAAACUUACGCUAAUACCGCAUACGACCUACGGGUGAAAGCAGGGGAUCUUCGGACCUUGCGCGAUUGAAUGAGCCGAUGUCGGAUUAGCUAGUUGGCGGGGUAAAGGCCCACCAAGGCGACGAUCCGUAGCUGGUCUGUGAGGAUGAUCAGCCACACUGGAACUGAGACACGGUCCAGACUCCUACGGGAGGCAGCAGUGGGGAAUAUUGGACAAUGGGCGCAAGCCUGAUCCAGCCAUACCGCGUGGGUGAAGAAGGCCUUCGGGUUGUAAAGCCCUUUUGUUGGGAAAGAAAAGCAGCAGGUUAAUACCCCGCUGUUCUGACGGUACCCAGAGAAUAAGCACCGGCUAACUUCGUG